RNAcentral lists this ribosomal RNA (1359 nucleotides) under uncultured bacterium. RNAcentral's name for it is "bacterial SSU rRNA". It matches the Rfam family "Bacterial small subunit ribosomal RNA", at positions 28 to 1381 of the family's 1533-position model. The record is from RNAcentral.
GAUGAACGCUAGCUACAGGCUUAACACAUGCAAGUCGAGGGGCAGCAUUUCAGUUUGCUUGCAAACUGGAGAUGGCGACCGGCGCACGGGUGAGUAACGCGUAUCCAACCUGCCGAUAACUCGGGGAUAGCCUUUCGAAAGAAAGAUUAAUACCCGAUGGUAUAAUCAGACCGCAUGGUCUUGUUAUUAAAGAAUUUCGGUUAUCGAUGGGGAUGCGUUCCAUUAGGCAGUUGGUGAGGUAACGGCUCACCAAACCUUCGAUGGAUAGGGGUUCUGAGAGGAAGGUCCCCCACAUUGGAACUGAGACACGGUCCAAACUCCUACGGGAGGCAGCAGUGAGGAAUAUUGGUCAAUGGGCGCAGGCCUGAACCAGCCAAGUAGCGUGAAGGAUGACUGCCCUAUGGGUUGUAAACUUCUUUUAUAUGGGAAUAAAGUUUUCCACGUGUGGAAUUUUGUAUGUACCAUAUGAAUAAGGAUCGGCUAACUCCGUGCCAGCAGCCGCGGUAAUACGGAGGAUCCGAGCGUUAUCCGGAUUUAUUGGGUUUAAAGGGAGCGUAGGUGGACAGUUAAGUCAGUUGUGAAAGUUUGCGGCUCAACCGUAAAAUUGCAGUUGAUACUGGCUGUCUUGAGUACAGUAGAGGUGGGCGGAAUUCGUGGUGUAGCGGUGAAAUGCUUAGAUAUCACGAAGAACUCCGAUUGCGAAGGCAGCUCACUGGACUGCAACUGACACUGAUGCUCGAAAGUGUGGGUAUCAAACAGGAUUAGAUACCCUGGUAGUCCACACAGUAAACGAUGAAUACUCGCUGUUUGCGAUAUACAGUAAGCGGCCAAGCGAAAGCAUUAAGUAUUCCACCUGGGGAGUACGCCGGCAACGGUGAAACUCAAAGGAAUUGACGGGGGCCCGCGCAAGCGGAGGAACAUGUGGUUUAAUUCGAUGAUACGCGAGGAACCUUACCCGGGCUUAAAUUGCAUUUGAAUAUAUUGGAAACAGUAUAGCCGUAAGGCAAAUGUGAAGGUGCUGCAUGGUUGUCGUCAGCUCGUGCCGUGAGGUGUCGGCUUAAGUGCCAUAACGAGCGCAACCCUUAUCUUUAGUUACUAACAGGUCAUGCUGAGGACUCUAGAGAGACUGCCGUCGUAAGAUGUGAGGAAGGUGGGGAUGACGUCAAAUCAGCACGGCCCUUACGUCCGGGGCUACACACGUGUUACAAUGGGGGGUACAGAAGGCAGCUACCUGGUGACAGGAUGCUAAUCCCAAAAGCCUCUCUCAGUUCGGAUCGAAGUCUGCAACUCGACUUCGUGAAGCUGGAUUCGCUAGUAAUCGCGCAUCAGCCAUGGCGCGGUGAAUACGUUCCCGGGCCU